This 450-nucleotide ribosomal RNA is filed under the name uncultured bacterium. RNAcentral's name for it is "partial 16S ribosomal RNA". It matches the Rfam family "Bacterial small subunit ribosomal RNA", at positions 338 to 795 of the family's 1533-position model. The record is from RNAcentral.
CCUACGGGUGGCUGCAGUAAGGAAUAUUGGUCAAUGGACGGAAGUCUGAACCAGCCAUCCCGCGUGCAGGAAGAAGGUCCUAUGGAUUGUAAACUGCUUUUAGCAGAGACGAAACGCCUUCAUUUAUGGGGGUUUGACGGUAUCUGCGGAAUAAGCACCGGCUAACUCCGUGCCAGCAGCCGCGGUAAUACGGAGGGUGCAAGCGUUAUCCGGAAUAACGGGUGUUUAGGCGUGCGAAGAAGUCAGAUUUGAAAGCCUGUAGCUUAACUACAGAAUUGCCAUUGAUACUGAUUUUCUUGAAUUGGGUUGAGGUUAGCGGAAUGUGACAUGUAACGGUGAAAUGUUUAGAUAUGUCAUGGAACACCGAUUGCGAAGGCAGCUAGCUGGGCCUUGAUUGACGCUGAGGCACGAAAGCGUGGGUAGCGAACAGGAUUAGAUACCCUAGUAGUC